UUUCAAAAAAAAAAAAAAAAAAGUUUUUCCUUACAAGAAUUUGGGCAUGCAUGCUAAGAAGCAUAAUAGUUUUACAGUGGAACAUGGGCUGAGGGACCUCCAAAGGGAAGUUGAAGCCUUGGAGGCAUUGCUCCUAUAUAAUGAAGUGGAACUAUUCUCUUAAGGCCUAAGCCCAUGCUUAAAACAGAGUACGAUUUCAUAACACCUGAAAUCAAAUACAAGAUGCAUGCUAGCAGUACACAUAAGAGGAGCCAAACCCAGUUCAACAAUGGGUAAAAAAAAGUAUCUAUUGAGAACUUGGACUUGGAGGCUUGAAUCUGACUCCUGGCAAGUAUCUAGACACAAAGUCACGAGCCAAGGCCUGAAGAUCAUCAUCAUUGACAAGUUGAUCUAAAUCAUCCAAUGGGUUAGAGAGGCUUGUGAAUUCCGUUGAUACCUGUUGUAGUUUAUCAAAAUGCAUUGAUACAUUUGAAUUAGAUGCUACCACUGAAGUUGAUCCUAUACUUGUUUGGCAGGGACUUUGAGCUGGUAGAGCCUGUGCUUGCGCCAAAGGCAGCCUCUGCAAUGUUGAAAGACGGGCCUGAAUGUAAGCCAACUCCGCCUGUAAAUUCACUACCUGCUGUUGAAGAGUAAAGAGGUGGCCAACACAGCCAUAAACAGGGUCUCUAACCCUUGCCAAGGCCUCAUAACAAAGAGUAACAACUGCGUCAAACCGCUUGUGUGCAGGUAUGCGGACGAGGAGCUUGGAGGCAUUGCUAGCACCAAACACCUUGUGCACUGCUGCAAAGUGAGCCGUGCCCUGGUCCGAGUCAAAAUAAGGUGCAAAAAUGCACCCUUUGAGACACUUUCGCCGAAGGAACUUGCAGGCACCGCAAGGCCCACCUCCAUUAUUGGCACCACUCAUCUCUCUCUCUCUCUUUCAAUGUCUUCCUACAGAGAUUAUCCACUUCUGUGUGUUCUUAAAUUCUGGUGGGGUCUAGCAACUAGCAAGGGAGAAGAGAGAAACGAAAUGAAGGAAGAAAUGGGUAUUUAAUUAGAGAAAGA
Molecule: unclassified non-coding RNA, 1044 nt
Filed under: Hevea brasiliensis (rubber tree)
Lineage: Eukaryota; Viridiplantae; Streptophyta; Magnoliopsida; Malpighiales; Euphorbiaceae
Source: RNAcentral